UAAACAUAUACUGAUGAAGUAAGAUUGUUUUGUCUCCAUUGACAUAGAAAUGGUUUAACUGAUGAGUUCUUAAUAAUUUUUAAUAUUAACCUUAGUAUUUUAAGGCUAAUUGAAACAAUAUAAACCAUUUUUUAUACACAUUAAAUAUUGAGUGAUCAGGGAAGGAACUGGAAUCUAUGCAAAGAUCGAGUGUUAUAAGAGAGUGUAUAUGUGACGGCCCAUUCUGUCAAUAUUAGCACUGAUAAACUAAAAAAGCAUUAAUAUUUAUUGUUUUGAACAUUUCUUAUAAUGGCUUUCUAGAUAUUUUGCAUGUAAAUACGGACUGAUGGAUACUGUGUGUCUUGUAUUCAUUCACCACCAUAAUUUUGCUUGCAUAUCCAAGCAAAAAAAAGUUAAAAACAUAUUAUAAUCACAAUUCAUCAAAUGUAAGUUACUAAUUUGGCACAAGCAACUAUGUAAAGAACAAGUGUACAUAUUUUACAUGUUUGAUAUCUCUAUGAAGGCAAACUGAAAGUUUUGGAUUCAGAGUUUCAGAGGGUGACAUUUUAUUUUUUACAUGACGAGGUUGCCCUGAUCAGCAUCUAUAAUUCAAUACCAGAUCAAUACUUCUGAUCAUGUAUACAGCGAUAACUGUGAAUUGCUAAUGAAAUAUUAGGUUUAAUUUCCUGUAUUUUGCUGAAAGGAUUGAUCAUCAUUUAUUAAUCUAAGAGGAUGAAAUGGGUGAGCAAAGGGAGUUUUUUUUGUUUUUUUGGUCUCUGUACAUAUGAAAACAGAGUAAAGAGGGGUACUAAACACUCUGGUCUGCAUUACAGUUCGUAUCACACCAUGUUUGGCUUUAUUUCGUGUAUAUACUCCUUCAAAAGCUUUGUAUUUAUAUGGUCAAGAGGGACAAAUCAUGUAUAGACUGAGAUUAAUUGUCUGCCUUGUACUUUCUGAUGUAAAUGUGUUUUUAAAACUAAACUGCGAACAUGAAAAAGAAAAAAAAAAUCUUUCAAUGGCCUAAUCACUACAGUUAUUGUGUGUAUUUUGCAUUGGAAUCUCAAGAGCGUUUUGUUUUACCAUGCAGAACUACGAAAACCUUUGUACCAAGUAUUUUUUCUGUAUAUAUUGUGCUAGCAUGAAUAAAUGUGGUGUGGAUUUUAGAUGUAAAUACACACUUUUUUUUUUCCUACUCACUUAACCGCUGUGAUGUGUAAUUCAUUAAUAAUGCCUAAUAUUAAAGAUAAUGUUUUAUCGACUGAUAUUUGCCUUCCUUUCUUUAUUUGGAAUAGAGUGUAAAUUCUCAGUAUAUAAUAAGCAUUUUCAAAUACAAUUUUUUUUUUUUUUAAUGCAAAAUAUUUACGAAACAUUUAUGAAAUACCCAUAAAGGGCCAUUCUGUGGAACCCUGUUUCUGCCACUG
Long non-coding RNA from Cyprinus carpio carpio, 1400 nucleotides. Lineage: Eukaryota; Metazoa; Chordata; Actinopteri; Cypriniformes; Cyprinidae. The record is from Ensembl.